RNAcentral lists this ribosomal RNA (119 nucleotides) under Echinops telfairi (small Madagascar hedgehog). The record is from RNAcentral. Lineage: Eukaryota; Metazoa; Chordata; Mammalia; Afrosoricida; Tenrecidae.
AGGUGUGGGCACACCACCCUGAAAUUGCCUGAUCAUGUCUGAUCCAGAAAGCUAAGCUUGGUUGGCCUUGUCAGUUUUGGGAGUUGUCAACGGUUACAUCUUGCUUGGAUCCACAAUCA